RNAcentral lists this ribosomal RNA (401 nucleotides) under uncultured organism. RNAcentral describes it as "bacterial SSU rRNA". It matches the Rfam family "Bacterial small subunit ribosomal RNA", at positions 45 to 433 of the family's 1533-position model. The record is from RNAcentral.
UGCCUAACACAUGCAAGUCGAACGCGAAAGGGGUUUCGGCCCUGAGUAGAGUGGCGAACGGGUGAGUAACACGUGGGUGAUCUACCUUCGAGUGGGGGAUAACGUUCCGAAAGGGACGCUAAUACCGCAUGACGUUCUGGGUUUGAAGACCUGGAAACCAAAGCUAGGGACCGCAAGGCCUGGCGCUUGGAGAGGAGCCCGCGCCUGAUUAGCUAGUUGGCGGGGUAACGGCCCACCAAGGCGACGAUCAGUAGCCGGCCUGAGAGGGCGGACGGCCACACUGGGACUGAGACACGGCCCAGACUCCUACGGGAGGCAGCAGUGGGGAAUUGUUCGCAAUGGGCGCAAGCCUGACGACGCAACGCCGCGUGGGGGAUGAAGGUCUUCGGAUCGUAAACCCC